GACGAACGCUGGCGGCGUGCCUAACACAUGCAAGUCGAGCGGGGUCCAUCCGGUAGCAAUACCGGGGAAGACCUAGCGGCGAACGGGUGGGUAACACGUGAGAAACCUGCCCCGAAGUCUGGGAUAACCCGAGGAAACUCGAGCUAAUACCGGAUGUCUUCUUCUGAUCGCAUGGUCGGAUGAAGAAAGAUUUAUCGCUUCGGGAGGGUCUCGCGGCCUAUCAGCUAGUUGGCGGGGUAACGGCCCACCAAGGCGUCGACGGGUAGCUGGUCUGAGAGGACGAUCAGCCACACUGGGACUGAGACACGGCCCAGACUCCUACGGGAGGCAGCAGUGGGGAAUAUUGCGCAAUGGGCGAAAGCCUGACGCAGCAACGCCGCGUGCGGGAUGAAGGCCU
RNAcentral lists this ribosomal RNA (397 nucleotides) under uncultured bacterium. Its description in RNAcentral is "bacterial SSU rRNA". It matches the Rfam family "Bacterial small subunit ribosomal RNA", at positions 28 to 417 of the family's 1533-position model. The record is from RNAcentral.